CGGUCCUUUAACGACCCCCUGCGGGUCCGUGCAGGCGCCCGCCCUCCCCGCGCCCUCCCCGCGGCUCGCACAGCCUCAGGCGUCCUCUCACCUGGAUGAGGAUCUUGCCAAGGCAGACGAAGGGUGUGCUGACCUCGGCCAUGAGCAGGCAGCCCAGGAAGUAGUCCCCCUUGCCCUGGCGCCACACCUGAGAGGAGAGGAAGGAAGCACGGCCUCGCCCUGGGCGCGUGGGCAGCGCCUGCUCCCCCUCCACCGCCUUUCAGAAGCUUCCUGCCGAGAGCCUGCACCCGCCCUCACCGCAUCCGCAGUCUUGUAGGUGAGACGGUGCGCGGUGGGUUACACAUGAGGAAACUGAGGCUCAGACACCGGCAGCCGCAGCAGCUCCAAGCCCCACCGCGGGGCGGGGCCCCGCCAGGCCGGCUGACCCAGGCCCUCUUGCUGCCGGGGGCCGGGCCGGAGCUCAGUACUCCCGCCUGGGGCCCUCCACCCUGGGCCUGCCCGCGCUGGAACCGGGCCCGGGCCCCAGGCUCCCCGCAGUGCGGCGUGCCCCGGACCGGACUCACCACGGAGAGCGGGAAGCACACCAGCACCAUGACGGCGUGGUGCAGCACCAUGAGGAACUCCUUGUGCAGGAGGUGGAGACGAUGUAGCCAGCGGUGGAGGCCAUGACAGCUUGGACAGAGGACACCAGCCUGGGGAGGGAGAAGCGGCAGCGGUAGCGGGAGCGGACACACCCCUGGGCUUCUCCCCUUUACUGUCCAGUUACGACGCCUUGGACGUGGUUACCUCUCAGGUCCCUCCCUGCCCACCUUCUCCCAGAGCUGCCUGUCCCAGGGCUCAGCGCCACCACCUCAGCUCCUGCCUUUGCCCAGCUGCCACUCCUCGGUUCCUCCCAUUCCUGGCUGCCAGCUUCCUUCCCUGGGCUGUGAACACAGAGUUGUCUUCCUCCCAGGACACCAGGGAGGUCAACCCUGGGGUUUAUUCUGCCUCUUCCUCUGCGACUUCACAGAACAGCCACGCUGCCGAGUCGGAAAGGACCUGGGAUUGGCUGAUUCAAGCCCCUCACUCAACCAUAAGGAACCCGGGGCCUAGUGACUUGGCCAAGGUCAGGCCGCAGGUCAGAAGCCCAGCCAGAACCAGACCGCUUUCUGCCUUCUGCCUUCCCACCACACACCCAACAGUCCUGUGGACUUCUGCAUGACGUGGGACCUGCUACCCGAACCUUUGCUCUCCAGGCCUGCCCUGUAAGGAGGCCAGCUGCAGGAGCCCUGGCCCCCGGAAGGAUGCCCUCACCCUGUCCUCUUACUUGGAUGCCACCAAAACGGCCUCUGGUCUGGGCAUCUGCAGGUCGGAGUGGUUCUGCAGGCCCCAGCAGAGGAGGGCGAAGACCAGCGGGAAGAAGAUGCAGCCCACCACGAAGAGCAGGGGCAUGCCUGUCUGCGGGGAGAAGGCGAGAAAAGCUGCCAUGAGAACGCCGCAGCAUCGUGUCCGCAGGCUCAGCGCUCCCCGGCACCUCAGGAGCUCUAACGGCCAUGGACUCCCUGCCUCGGUGACCAUCAGAAGCCACCGGCAUAGCUCCUCCCUAACCUCUGGGAUCCACAUUGUCCUUUAAAGACCUCUCACUCAAGGCAACUGGACAUGCUAUUUUUGGUUAUCAACCCAAUCCCAACAAUGUCAUUUUUCCUAUAAACCCUGAAGCUGAUCUGUA
Long non-coding RNA from Eptesicus fuscus (big brown bat), 1708 nucleotides. RefSeq lists it as uncharacterized. The transcript has 4 exons. The record is from RefSeq and is a predicted model, not a curated record. NCBI's taxonomy places the organism in Eukaryota, Metazoa, Chordata, Mammalia, Chiroptera, Vespertilionidae.